This is a non-coding RNA of Pelobates cultripes (western spadefoot toad), 213 nucleotides long. The record is from the annotation of a GenBank genome assembly. Lineage: Eukaryota; Metazoa; Chordata; Amphibia; Anura; Pelobatidae.
AUAAGCAAGGCAUAUUGCCAAUAUCAGUGGCUUUGUCCAGGAGGGCAGUAACAGCCCCACUGCCCUAACACAUGAGGGGGCACCCCUGGUAACAGGGUCCAAACUGGUGGAGUAGUACGCUAUUGGUCUUUGUUUACCACCAUGGUCCCGUGUAAGGACAGAUGUGGCAUUUUCUGCUGCAUGGGUUAAUUUAAAGGAUUUGUUUUUGUUGGC